CCUANGGGCGGCAGCAGUGAGGAAUAUUGCGCAAUGGGGGCAACCCUGACGCAGCAACGCCGCGUGAGUGAGGAAGGUUUUCGGAUCGUAAAGCUCUGUCGAGCGGGAAGAAAUGCAUGGUGGCUAAUAUCCAUUAUGCUUGACGGUACCGCUAAAGGAAGCACCGGCUAACUCCGUGCCAGCAGCCGCGGUAAUACGGGGGGUGCUAGCGUUGUUCGGAAUUAUUGGGCGUAAAGAGCGUGUAGGCGGCUGGAUAAGUCAGAUGUGAAAGCCCUGGGCUUAACCCAGGAAGUGCAUUUGAAACUGUCCGGCUUGAGUAAGGGAGAGGAAAGUGGAAUUCCUGGUGUAGAGGUGAAAUUCGUAGAUAUCAGGAGGAACACCGGUGGCGAAGGCGACUUUCUGGCCCUAUACUGACGCUGAGACGCGAGAGCGUGGGUAGCAAACAGGAUUAGAUACCCCANUANUC
Molecule: ribosomal RNA, 466 nt
Filed under: uncultured bacterium
Lineage: Bacteria
Description: bacterial SSU rRNA
Rfam family: Bacterial small subunit ribosomal RNA
Source: RNAcentral